UGUCUUCAGGGCAGGGUGCAAUUCCCGAUCGGCGGUAUAGUCCGCGAGGCCAUAAAUCUUGGUCAUGAUUUGGUGCGAUUCCAAAACCGACAGUAUAGUCUGGAUGAGAGAAGAUA
This 116-nucleotide non-coding RNA is filed under the name chicken gut metagenome. Its description in RNAcentral is "FMN riboswitch (RFN element)". It matches the Rfam family "FMN riboswitch aptamer (RFN element)". Rfam says of the family: The RFN element is a highly conserved domain that is found frequently in the 5'-untranslated regions of prokaryotic mRNAs that encode for flavin mononucleotide (FMN) biosynthesis and transport proteins. This element is a metabolite-dependent riboswitch that directly binds FMN in the absence of proteins. The record is from RNAcentral.